GUGGAAGUAGCUUAACUGGCAAAGCGCUGGAUUGAAAAUCCAAAGUAGAUGGUUCGAGUCCAUCCUUCCGCG
RNAcentral lists this transfer RNA (72 nucleotides) under Treponema bryantii. RNAcentral describes it as "tRNA_Phe_GAA". It matches the Rfam family "tRNA". From Rfam's summary of the family: Transfer RNA (tRNA) molecules are approximately 80 nucleotides in length. Their secondary structure includes four short double-helical elements and three loops (D, anti-codon, and T loops). Further hydrogen bonds mediate the characteristic L-shaped molecular structure. tRNAs have two regions of fundamental functional importance: the anti-codon, which is responsible for specific mRNA codon recognition, and the 3' end, to which the tRNAs corresponding amino acid is attached (by aminoacyl-tRNA synthetases). tRNAs cope with the degeneracy of the genetic code in two manners: having more than one tRNA (with a specific anti-codon) for a particular amino acid; and 'wobble' base-pairing, i.e. permitting non-standard base-pairing at the 3rd anti-codon position. Lineage: Bacteria; Pseudomonadati; Spirochaetota; Spirochaetia; Treponematales; Treponemataceae. The record is from RNAcentral.